GAUGAACGCUGGCGGCGUGCCUAAUACAUGCAAGUCGAGCGAACGGACGAGAAGCUUGCUUCUCUGAUGUUAGCGGCGGACGGGUGAGUAACACGUGGAUAACCUACCUAUAAGACUGGGAUAACUUCGGGAAACCGUAGCUAAUACCGGAUAAUAUUUUGAACCGCAUGGUUCAAAAGUGAAAGACGGUCUUGCUGUCACUUAUAGAUGGAUCCGCGCUGCAUUAGCUAGUUGGUAAGGUAACGGCUUACCAAGGCAACGAUGCAUAGCCGACCUGAGAGGAUGAUCGGCCACACUGGAACUGAGACACGGUCCAGACUCCUACGGGAGGCAGCAGUGGGGAAUCUUGCGCAAUGGGCGAAAGCCUGACGGAGCAACGCCGCGUGAGUGAUGAAGGUCUUCGGAUCGUAAAACUCUGUUAUUAGGGAAGAACAUAUGUGUAAGUAACUGUGCACAUCUUGACGGUACCAAAUCAGAAAGCCACGGCUAACUACGUG
RNAcentral lists this ribosomal RNA (497 nucleotides) under uncultured bacterium. Its description in RNAcentral is "partial 16S ribosomal RNA". It matches the Rfam family "Bacterial small subunit ribosomal RNA", at positions 28 to 507 of the family's 1533-position model. The record is from RNAcentral.